This 205-nucleotide ribosomal RNA is filed under the name uncultured bacterium. RNAcentral's name for it is "partial 16S ribosomal RNA". It matches the Rfam family "Bacterial small subunit ribosomal RNA", at positions 568 to 774 of the family's 1533-position model. The record is from RNAcentral.
UGCGUAGGCGGGUCUUUAAGUCAGGGGUGAAAUCCUGGAGCUCAACUCCAGAACUGCCUUUGAUACUGAAGAUCUUGAGUUCGGGAGAGGUGAGUGGAACUGCGAGUGUAGAGGUGAAAUUCGUAGAUAUUCGCAAGAACACCAGUGGCGAAGGCGGCUCACUGGCCCGAUACUGACGCUGAGGCAAGACUGGGGAGGCGAAACA